This 77-nucleotide small RNA is filed under the name Breoghania corrubedonensis. RNAcentral describes it as "alpha proteobacterium UBF-P1 Makes More Granules Regulator RNA (mmgR)". It matches the Rfam family "Makes More Granules Regulator RNA (mmgR)". From Rfam's summary of the family: SuhB later renamed mmgR (makes more granules regulator) was a putative non-coding RNA found multiple times in the Agrobacterium tumefaciens genome and related alpha-proteobacteria. Lineage: Bacteria; Pseudomonadati; Pseudomonadota; Alphaproteobacteria; Hyphomicrobiales; Stappiaceae. The record is from Rfam by way of RNAcentral.
UAUCGCAGCCCUUCUUGGGCGUUUCCUCCCUAGACUUCAGGCCGCCUCGCAAGAGAGCGGCCUUUUUUUUGUCCUGA